GCCUUCGUGGUGUAAUGGUUAGCACACUCGGUGCGUAUUCGAGAGGUCCAGGUUCGAGUCCAGGCGAGUGGUA
Molecule: non-coding RNA, 73 nt
Organism: Stegodyphus mimosarum
Lineage: Eukaryota; Metazoa; Arthropoda; Arachnida; Araneae; Eresidae
Source: Rfam